AUGAACGCUGGCGGCGUGCUUAACACAUGCCAGUCGAACGGGAAACCUUUUAUUGAAGCUUCGGCAGAUUUAGCUGGUUUCUAGUGGCGGACGGGUGAGUAACGCGUGGGUAACCUGCCUUAUACAGGGGGAUAACAACCAGAAAUGGUUGCUAAUACCGCAUAAGCGCACAGGACCGCAUGGUCCGGUGUGAAAAACUCCGGUGGUAUAAGAUGGACCCGCGUUGGAUUAGCUAGUUGGCAGGGUUACGGCCUACCAAGGCGACGAUCCAUAGCCGGCCUGAGAGGGUGAACGGCCACAUUGGGACUGAGACACGGCCCAGACUCCUACGGGAGGCAGCAGUGGGGAAUAUUGCACAAUGGGGGAAACCCUGAUGCAGCGACGCCGCGUGAAGGAAGAAGUAUCUCGGUAUGUAAACUUCUAUCAGCAGGGAAGAUAGUGACGGUACCUGACUAAGAAGCCCCGGCUAACUACGUG
This 477-nucleotide ribosomal RNA is filed under the name uncultured bacterium. RNAcentral's name for it is "partial 16S ribosomal RNA". It matches the Rfam family "Bacterial small subunit ribosomal RNA", at positions 29 to 507 of the family's 1533-position model. The record is from RNAcentral.